Molecule: ribosomal RNA, 660 nt
Filed under: Paenalcaligenes suwonensis
Lineage: Bacteria; Pseudomonadati; Pseudomonadota; Betaproteobacteria; Burkholderiales; Alcaligenaceae
Description: bacterial SSU rRNA
Rfam family: Bacterial small subunit ribosomal RNA
Source: RNAcentral
GGGCUAGCGGCAUGCAUUAACAUGCAGUCGAGCGGCAGCACGAGAGAGCUUGCUCUCUUGGUGGCGAGUGGCGGACGGGUGAGUAAUGUAUCGGAACGUGCCCAGUAGCGGGGGAUAACUACUCGAAAGAGUGGCUAAUACCGCAUACGCCCUACGGGGGAAAGGGGGGGAUCGCAAGACCUCUCACUAUUGGAGCGGCCGAUAUCGGAUUAGCUAGUUGGUGGGGUAAAGGCCUACCAAGGCGACGAUCCGUAGCUGGUUUGAGAGGACGACCAGCCACACUGGGACUGAGACACGGCCCAGACUCCUACGGGAGGCAGCAGUGGGGAAUUUUGGACAAUGGGGGAAACCCUGAUCCAGCCAUCCCGCGUGUGUGAUGAAGGCCUUCGGGUUGUAAAGCACUUUUGACAGGGAAGAAAUGACAGGAGCUAAUAACUUCUGUAGAUGACGGUACCUGUAGAAUAAGCACCGGCUAACUACGUGCCAGCAGCCGCGGUAAUACGUAGGGUGCAAGCGUUAAUCGGAAUUACUGGGCGUAAAGGGUACGCAGGCGGCUAGGAAAGACAGAUGUGAAAUCCCAGGGCUCAACCUUGGAACUGCAUUUGUAACUACCUAGCUAGAGUAUGUCAGAGGGGGGUAGAAUUCCACGUGUAGCAGUGA